GACAGAGGGUGCAAACGUUGUUCGGAAUUACUGGGCGUAAAGCGCGUGUAGGCGGCUCGGCAAGUCGGGUGUGAAAUCCCCGGGCUUAACCUGGGAAUGGCAUUUGGGACUGCAAGGCUCGAGUGCGGCAGAGGAGACUGGAGUUCCUGGUGUAGCAGUGAAAUGCGUAGAUAUCAGGAGGAACACCGAUGGCGAAGGCAGGUCUCUGGGCUGACACUGACGCUCAUGCACGAAAGCGUGGGGAGCAAACAGG
RNAcentral lists this ribosomal RNA (253 nucleotides) under uncultured bacterium. Its description in RNAcentral is "partial 16S ribosomal RNA". It matches the Rfam family "Bacterial small subunit ribosomal RNA", at positions 524 to 776 of the family's 1533-position model. The record is from RNAcentral.